GCCAGACUCCUACGGGAGGCAGCAGUGGGGAAUAUUGCACAAUGGGCGCAAGCCUGAUGCAGCCAUGCCGCGUGUAUGAAGAAGGCCUUCGGGUUGUAAAGUACUUUCAGUCGGGAGGAAGGUGGUAAGGUUAAUAACCUUAUCAAUUGACGUUACCGACAGAAGAAGCACCGGCUAACUCCGUGCCAGCAGCCGCGGUAAUACGGAGGGUGCAAGCGUUAAUCGGAAUUACUGGGCGUAAAGCGCACGCGGGCGGUCCGUCAAGUCGGAUGUGAAAUCCCCGGGCUCAACCUGGGAACUGCAUUCGAAACUGGCAGGCUGGAGUCUUGUAGAGGGGGGUAGAAUUCCAGGUGUAGCGGCGAAAUGCGUAGAGAUCUGGAGGAAUACCGGUGGCGGAGGCGGCCCCCUGGACAAAGACUGACGCUCAGGUGCGAAAGCGUGGGGAGCAAACAGGAUUAGAUACCCGAGUACUC
This 473-nucleotide ribosomal RNA is filed under the name uncultured bacterium. RNAcentral's name for it is "bacterial SSU rRNA". It matches the Rfam family "Bacterial small subunit ribosomal RNA", at positions 330 to 795 of the family's 1533-position model. The record is from RNAcentral.